RNAcentral lists this ribosomal RNA (286 nucleotides) under Moho nobilis. RNAcentral describes it as "partial 12S ribosomal RNA". The record is from RNAcentral. Lineage: Eukaryota; Metazoa; Chordata; Aves; Passeriformes; Mohoidae.
GCCUGGCCCUAAAUCUUGAUGCUUCGUUACCUAAGCAUCCGCCCGGGAACUACGAGCACAAACGCUUAAAACCCUAAGGACUUGGCGGUGUCCCAAACCCACCUAGAGGAGCCUGUGUGUUCGCAUGAUCCACGAUAUUCCGCACCACUUCUUGCUAACAGCCUAGAUACCGCCGUCGCCAGCYCACCUUCACUGAGAGACCAUYAGUGGRCGCAAUAGCCCAACCACGCUAAUAGGACAGGCAGGGUAUGCCUAUGGAGUGGAAGCAGUGGGCUACAUUUUCUAA